Molecule: unclassified non-coding RNA, 1859 nt
Filed under: Hevea brasiliensis (rubber tree)
Lineage: Eukaryota; Viridiplantae; Streptophyta; Magnoliopsida; Malpighiales; Euphorbiaceae
Source: RNAcentral
AUCGCAUUCCCUCGCAUUUCUUUGCCAUUUUGAUAGGCUCGAUUUAAAUAUUAAAACCCACCAUUUCCCGCCUUUCAACUCCAGUGCAGUCCACUUCUUCACCGGCGAGCGACGACGGAGCCACCGUGCUAACGUCCUCUACCAACAGGUUCGUUCUUAACCCUUCCAAAUCUGAUCUGUACAAAUCGGGCCUCCUCUCCCAUAGUUCAAUACUGGCGCCGGUUCUACUCUCACCGGCUACGGACCGUCUCAAAUUCCAUUGAUUUCUUUAAUUUUUUUUCCCCUGAUGAGUGCCCAAUCUAUUGAUUAAACCCAAAAACUCCCAUUUUCUCUGUCUGUAACUUUGAGAAGAACCGCUGCAUCCCUUAUGUGGCCCAUCACCAGAGCUCACCUCUUGUGUCUGCUUUCACAAAAACCAAUUUUGCACUCUAGCUGAUUGAGAAAUUUUAUGCCUUGCUACUUCUGUAAAGUGUUGUUUUCUCUCAGGUGCUGGAGGAGAUUGUCGAUUCGAUUUUGGUUCCUCAACUUUACGUUGAUUUCCAAAUGAACGGUGUUGAGUUACCAUUCGAAAACCCAAUCGGAGAUGCGGUUUCCAGGAUCCGAUUCGCCCCCCUAUCCAAUAAUCUCCUUAUUUCCUCUUGGGACUCUAAUCUUCGAUUGUAUGAUGUGGAUGGCUCUCUGCUCAGAUUAGAAGCUCCCUCCCAAGCUGGACUCCUAGAUUGUUGUUACCAGAGCGAGUCCAUGGCUUUUAGUGCGGGUUCAGAUGGUGGAAUUAGAAGGUAUGACUUGCAUUCAGGAACCAAUGAGACAAUUGGAAGUCAUCAUGAUAUAGCAACGUGUGUUGGAUAUAGUGAUCAAACAGGCCUAUUGUUUUCAGCUAGUUUAGACAAGAAUAUAAUGUCCUGGGAUAUGCGCUCUGCAAAGUCUCUGGCAUACCUAAUAAAUAUGGGUGCAGAAGUUGAGUCCAUUUCUCUCUCUAGGUUUGAUUUGAUCGUAGCUGUUGGAGCAUCAGUGAAGAUAUAUGACUUGCGAAACUUGGAGAGGCCAGUUCAUUUGAAAGAAUCGUGUAUGGACAUAAGAACAAAGUGUAUUAGCUCAUUUCCUGGAGGUUAUGCUGUUGGAUAUGUAGAUGGACGGGUAGCAUUGGAGUUGUUGGAUCCAUCGAAUUUAAAUGAAGGAUAUACUUUUCGGUGUCAUCCAAAGUUUAAGGAUGGAAGAGCACAUCUAGUUUCAAUAAAUGACAUAGUUUUCAAUCCACUUGUAUGUGGUACUUUUGUUAGUGGUGAUAAUGAUGGCUACAUUAUCACUUGGAAUAAUGAAAGCAAAAGAAGAUUAUAUGAGUUUCCUAGAUACCCCAAUAGUGUGGCGUCUUUAUCAUUCAACCAGGGGGGAGAACUUUUGGCCAUUGCAUCCAGCUACACUUACCAAGAAGCCAAUGAAAAGGAAGUGACCCCUCAAGUAUUCAUACAAAAGAUGGGAGACUGCUAGGUCUUUUGGAGUUUCUAGUCAGAAUAAGCAUUUGUAGGAUACUUGAUGGAAAAGAUAAUUCAAAUCAUCCCAACAAUAUUUGCCUCUGAUUUUGGAAUUGGACCAAGAAUUCAUAUCUUUGGAUAAGCUGCUGUCCAACUUGCUUGAGCAAGUUUCAAGAUAUCUCAUCUUGUUCAUGGCUUCUUUCUGAGCUUGGUAAUUCUUUUCAGAGAGGGCUCGAGCUAAUCUUGUUGGAACUGUUAUGUGCUUCAAAUUAAAAACAGGUGAAAUUUUUGUUUUUAUUUUUCAUUAUUUGGCCUAGGAAUGAGUUUAGAAAUAGAAUAGUUGCAAAAUAUGUUCCUUUUUUGUUUUUUUUAAAUUAUUAUUAUUAU